Molecule: long non-coding RNA, 3030 nt
Filed under: Gallus gallus (chicken)
Lineage: Eukaryota; Metazoa; Chordata; Aves; Galliformes; Phasianidae
Description: lncRNA (ENSGALG00010009890.1)
Source: RNAcentral
CUUUGGGACUGGUAGCCAAAGGCAAAGAGAGGUGCACUAGGUAUCUUGUGGCAUUAGAGAUGACAUCCAAGCAACUGAAUGGAAUCUUAAAUCUUGACUGACUACAAUGGAAUCUUAGGCAUCAAGAGCAGAACAUGUCUAUAUAUACACUUACAGCUAGGGAUCUCAAACUUGAAUGGAAUUCAACCUGGUAAGGGUGAGAUGAAGGAGCCCAGGAUGAAUAGGUGGCCAAUGCAGUUUCAUUCGCAAUUCUACUGCUGUUCCAGCUUAUCUCUACCAUCCCACAGGUUCUCUGUGAUAGCUCCCAGUCCCAUGAAAAUGUCUCAGAUACCUGUGGAUGUUGCAAAUAACACUUGACACCUCUGGAAAGACAACUGAAUCAGGCCUCAACAUUCAUUCAGACAACUUAUCUGCACACACACAUACACACACAAAUAAAAAAAUUCCAACACUCUAAUGUGUUCAAAUGUGUUAGGAAAUGCAUGAUUAGAUGCUGUCUAAUUGCAAAUAAUAGGCCUAAAAUGUCAUUUACCUACACUUUCUGUGAUUAUCUAAAAUUAAGUCAUCAUAUAAUCAUCAAUAACUGAAGGAAAAAUACCUGUUGUCCAAAGCCUGAGAGCUAUAUGCAAUACUCAAAGAUCCUUGGUAUAACAUUCAUUAGAAAGUGCAAUGUAACAGUAUUAACUGAAUUCUGCUGAAACUCUUUUUUUUUAACAAAGCUUUCUCCAUGGAAAUUUCCUCUACAGCAUAAUUCAUUGGAAAUGGAUAUGAAGGUUUUUUUUUUCAGAGCAGGGCACAUUGAUCAGCUCCACCUCUCCAGGUGCAUUUUCUGCGUGCAUCACUGAAAAAUCAUUUGUGUAUUCACAUCUGACACUUUUACAUGAAACAUAGGACCUGUUCUUUUUAUGUGCUUUUUACACUAUGUAAACAUCAACAUCAUGUAUUUUCUAAAUAUAUAAUCACCAUUUUAUGUUUUCUCGAACAUCUGUAACAAUUUCUGGUGUUGAUGACCCUCAGGUCUUCGUUGUAUUCUCUCAGCCAACACAUGGAAGUACUUACAAAAUGGAAAGUUUUGCUGGGUGGGGCUCAGAUUUCUACCUGUGAGCAUAUUUGUAGCCAUAUUUCAAAUCAAAAGACACAGCAGAAUGAUGCAGUAAUCUGUCCUUGGAGCUCUGAGCUAGUAUUAACAUCACUAUUAUAGCUUGUUCCUAAUUAAGCGGGAAGACUUCUCAAAGACUUAUUCAAAAUAAGAAACAGAAGCGAAAAGAGAGGAACAGAAAAAGGAAAAUGCAGUUAAAUUUGGAAUCUGUGUCCACUUUUCAAACAGCACACGAAGAUAGGCAGAAAAAUUGAGAGCACUAGUGACUGAAAGUGAGAAGUCUUAUUUUGGCCUUGGAGUUGAAAGGUUCAGUUUCAGUGCAAAGUGCUUUAAAAAUAGCUAUGCUGACAAAUGAUUAACGUCUACUACUUUAAACAAAAAGCUGAAAGAAGCCUAAGAAACUGGUAUCGAUAUACAGCAGAUUCUCAGUUUCUCAACUGAUUACUUAGGAAACACUGAGAAAGCUCCCUGUUAAAAGGCAAUUAUGAGAAGAAUGUGUACUUGCAGAAAGGAACUUGGCCUCAGAAAGAUGCAUCUAAUUGAGCCGAAGGUAGGAAUAAAGGAAUGAGGUGUUCCUCCCAUGCGCGUAUUCAAUGAAGUCUGAUAGCACAUGAUGGUUGUGCUAAACAUUGGUUCUCUUAACCUUGGAAACUGAGUGAAGAAUGGAAAGUGUGGCAUAUUAGAUGUACAGUUUGAUGCUAUCCUACUUGAAUAACUAUUCAUUCCAAAUUUUUCUUGUUUUCCCUGAUGAAAGUUCACUAUCAUGGAAUUUAAUCCUUUUGUUUAUUUAAACAGUGCUUAAUAUGCAGCUGGAGUUAACAUCUUCACUUUGUAACUAUUUGAGUACUGGUACAGCCACCUCUACAAGGAGAUUGAGGACCCAUAGCCCACUUCAUGCCUUACUUCUCAAUUGACACUCUUCAGCUCUCUGAAUAAAAAGACUCUUUUACUCAAGAAAAAGUAACAAAUAAAAGUAUUUUUUUUAAAAAAAAGAUCAGGUUUUUUUCUAUGGUAGAAUUUGAGCUUUUAAUGAAAAACUGAAAAUAUCUUCACUCUGAAAUGUCACUUUGGUGCUCACCUGGUUCAUCCAUGGAUUAAAGGGGACCAGAGAUACAGAAAGCACGAGCCAAUGCCACAACCAAACACCUAUGUUUCAAUGGAAACUGAAAUCUCAAAACAGAUCAAGACUGAGCUAUUUAUGUUUCUGUGGUAAAACUUCCACAUCAGACACUUUCACGAACAUUUAAUUGAAAGUUCCAUUUUUCUUUUGAAACAGCCUCAGAUGAAUUUUCUUGGACUCACAGUGGUUGAAUUGUUGGCCAGAGAGGCUAUACAUAUAAACAACCAUCCACAACGGGUCAGCUUGUCAUUUCACAGUGGAAAUAGUCACUCAGAUAUGAAGUGUAUUCCCUGCUGUUAACCCACUAAAUCAUUCAAUUCAUUACUUAAAAUUGAUAAUAAUUUUCACUUUCUUUGCUGCACCAUAUUUGAAGCUAUUGAUCUAAAACUUCACAGUUUUUUUUUACCUUCCUCCUUUCUGGCUUUGAUAGAUCUCAGUUACCCACGGGAUACCAGUCCAGCUCAAAAAAUACCUCUUUUUAGGAUAGAAUUCCACUGACAUAUAUUUGGCUGUAAAUUAGGAAUGUCUUAUCCAUCAGCUGCUUUCUACCACGAAGCAACACUGCCUCUUCCCUUGUACAUAAAAAAGCAAAAUGCUGGUGGAGAUAUAACAUUAAUUAAAAUAAAACAAAACAAAACAAACAAACAAACAAACAAAAAAAAAAACAAAAAGAUACCAUGAACUUGUAGAGUAGUUUUAUUAAGCUGGCUUGUGUUAUAUCUGUAGUUUCAGCCUAGUUCAUGAGAAUCCAGCUUGCUACUGUCAUAUUUUUGUUGUUCUCUUUUUUAAUGUUUUAAUAAACACAUUUAUU